This 442-nucleotide ribosomal RNA is filed under the name uncultured bacterium. RNAcentral describes it as "partial 16S ribosomal RNA". It matches the Rfam family "Bacterial small subunit ribosomal RNA", at positions 338 to 795 of the family's 1533-position model. The record is from RNAcentral.
CCUACGGGAGGCAGCAGUGGGGAAUAUUGCACAAUGGGGGAAACCCUGAUGCAGCGACGCCGCGUGAAGGAAGAAGUAUCUCGGUAUGUAAACUUCUAUCAGCAGGGAAGAAAACAGACGGUACCGGACGAAGAAGCCCCGGCUAACUACGUGCCCGCAGCCGCGGUAAAACGGAGGGGGCAAGCGUUCUCAGGAUGUCCGGGGUGUAAAGGGGGCGCAGACGGCCAGGGCAAGCCCGGUGGGAAAGGCAGGGGCAUACCCCCUGGACUGCACUGGGAACUGUCAGGCUGGAGUGCCGGAGGGGUAACCGGACUUCCUGGUGUAGCGGUGAAAUGCGUAGAUAUCAGGCGGAACCCCGGCGGCGAAGGCGGCUUACUGGACGGCAACUGACGUUGAGGCCCGAAAGCGUGGGGAGCGAACAGGAUUAGAUACCCGAGUAGUC